UGUACCUACGGGACGCAGCAGUGAGGAAUAUUGGUCAAUGGCCGGAAGGCUGAACCAGCCAAGCCGCGUGAAGGACGAAGGUGCCAAGCAUUGUAAACUUCUUUUGUCAAGGGACAAAAUCAGGCUCGAGAGCCUGACCGAGGGUACUUGAAGAAAAAGCAUCGGCUAACUCCGUGCCAGCAGCCGCGGUAAUACGUAGGGUGCGAGCGUUAAUCGGAAUUACUGGGCGUAAAGGGUGUGCAGGCGGCUGAGUAAGACAGAUGUGAAAUCCCCGGGCUUAACCUGGGAACCGCAUAUGUGACUGG
RNAcentral lists this ribosomal RNA (305 nucleotides) under uncultured bacterium. Its description in RNAcentral is "bacterial SSU rRNA". It matches the Rfam family "Bacterial small subunit ribosomal RNA", at positions 335 to 636 of the family's 1533-position model. The record is from RNAcentral.